GAACGGUGUGCAACGGACCGCUGCUGGAUCUUGGGAACAAGACCCUGGCAUGCUUUGGCAAACAUACAUCAAGUCUGGUGACAAGGCAGCCUGACAGCACAAAUUGCCUCUUGAUAUCUGAAAUAAAGACAUUUGGAACCAGAGGAAGUAAUGAAGUUGUGGUUAUCAUGUGAAGCUUGCAUGGAUGUAUCUUCGGGUGUUCAUCUGUCAUACAUUCUUGGAAUAUUCAGAUGGUGAAGAAGGCUUUAAACAUUGAUACCAGUGUUAGCAAUGGCUGCCCGGAGAUAUUAGAAGGUACGGGGAUUAGCAGGAGAGGUACCUAUAUGAAUGUGGAACAUAUUUAUAGUCAAUACCUAUAUGAAGGGGCAAAAUGGCUGUGAUAUCAUAGGCCUCAGUGAGAUGUGGUGAGAUGGCUCACAUAACAAGAGUGCUGAGAUGGAUAGCUGCAGGCUCUUCAGGAGAGUUAGGCAGGGAAGAGAAGGUGGGGUAGCCUUCUUUGCUAGGGGAGGCCUGGACUGUAUGAAGCUUAUUCAUGGUGAUAAAAAACAUUGAGUGCCUCUGCGCACUCGCAGGGAGAGGGAAAGGCCAACAAGAGAGAUACUGUAGUAAGAGUUUGUUAUAGACCACCCAACCAGGAUGAAGAAGCAGACCAAAUAUUUUAUAAGCCUCUAAAGAAGCAUCACAAUUGCUAGUGCUCACUCUUCUUUAACUUUCCAGACGUGCUGGAAAUACAAAACAGCAAAGAAAAAAGCUAGUAGAAUUCCUGGAAUGUGUGGAGGAUAAUGCCCUGACUCAAGUCAUUAGGGAUCUAGCUACAGAGUUGCACCACUUCAUCUUCUGUUUGUUAAGAGGAAAAGUCUUGCAGGUGACAUGUUGGUUGGACGCUGGCAUAGUGUUCACGAGGAUGGCAGAGUUCUUGAUCCUUGCAGAAGCCAAGAGGGCAGUCAGCAGAACUGAUACUUUGGGUUUUCACAGUUUUGAUUUUGGCAUGUUUAGGGACCUAGUUGACAUGGUUUCUUGUGAGGCAGUUCUAAAGAAGGGCAGGAAGGAGAAUCUUGGAAAAAACAGGCCUGUCAGUCUGACCUCAGUGCCAGGAAAGGUCAUGGAGCAGACCAUUUUGAGAGCCAAAACAUGGCAUAUAAAGGACAGACAGAUGAUCAGAUGCAGUCAGCAUGCGUUUGUGAAGGGAAAGUCCUGCUUGACGAACCUGAUCUCCUAUAACAAGAAAACACGUUUAGUGGAUAUGUCGGAAAGCCUGUGAAUGUUUACUUGGAUUUCAGCAAGGUAUUUGGUAGUAUUUCCCAUGGUCUUCUCCUGAAGAAUUUGCUGUUAUUGGCUUGGAUACAUAUACUAGCUGGAUGGCCCCAUUGUCAUCCAAUUGUAAGUAAUAUUCCCCACGGCUCAGUAGUAAGGCCAGUUUUGUUUAAUAUCUUUCCCAAUGAUCUGUAUGAGGGGAUAGAGUGCACCCUCAGUAAUAUUGCUGACAACACCAAGCUGAGUAAGUAUGAUGAUCUACUUGAGGGAGGAAGGCUGGUGCUGGAGUCAUAAUUUCUAGAGGUAUUUAAGAGUCAUGUGGAGGUGUAACUUAGGUACAUGGUCUUGGUACUGUAAGAUGAUAACUAGAUUUGAUCUCAAAAAUCUUUUCCAACCUAAAUCAUUCUAUCUCAUCUGCUAUAUAAAACAAUCUCUUCUUUGGGUUAAAAUACUAUAAAAUUCAAAACAUAUGUAUAUUUUAUAAUUUUAUAUUAUCAUGCAUUACAGAACAAGUUGUACCUUUAUUUCAUUUUCUCAUCAAUUUACUAUUUAGACCUAGAUUAUCACUUUUGCUCUUUAUGAAUGAUCACAUUUUAUCAUUUCCAAAAAUUUCAUGAAAUCUUCAGCCAGAGCAAAUUUCUUCAGUUGCGUAAUUAAAUGUUUAUUGCAAUAAAUGGAAGUUGGUGCCAUGACUUUAUUACUUGAAAUAUAUCAGUCACAAGCUGCAAAACAGCACAGUAUAGCUGAUCAUAAAAAACAAAUAUAGGCCACACACAACUCUGCAUGCAGAGAAUGUACUGUGGAUAAACACAAAUAUAAGAGUAUCAAAGCUACAAUAAUGCUGGAAUUAAACAACAACAUAAUGUUAAUACUGUGAUGUGAUUCAUUUGGGAACCUGUGGGAAUCACACACUAAAGCCAUCAGUGAUGGAACUGAUUAAAUAAAGUGCAUUAAAUAUGAUCUUCCUGCC
Gallus gallus (chicken) is the source of this 2224-nucleotide long non-coding RNA. The record is from Ensembl. NCBI's taxonomy places the organism in Eukaryota, Metazoa, Chordata, Aves, Galliformes, Phasianidae.